CUGUUGGAAAUAUGCCCUAGAGGCAAUAAUAAUUAGUUAUUAUUAUAUUUCUUUGUUUAUGAUAAUCGUUUAUUAUCCAUGCUAUAAUUGUAUUGAUUGGAAACACAAUACUUGUGUGGAUACAUAGACAAAACACUGUCCCUAGUAAGCCUCUAGUUGACUAGCUCGUUGAUCAAAGAUGGUCAAGGUUUCCUCGCCAUAGGCAAGUGUUGUUACUUGAUAACGGGAUCACAUCAUUAGGAGAAUCAUGUG
This 252-nucleotide long non-coding RNA is filed under the name Hordeum vulgare. RNAcentral's name for it is "long non-coding RNA (HVUL_LNC015987)". The record is from RNAcentral. Lineage: Eukaryota; Viridiplantae; Streptophyta; Magnoliopsida; Poales; Poaceae.